CAGUAGCCACGGUAAUACGGAGGAUCCAAGCGUUAUCCGGAUUUAUUGGGUUUAAAGGGUGCGUAGGCGGCUCAUUAAGUCAGGGGUGAAAGACGGUAGCUUAACUAUCGCAGUGCCUUUGAUACUGAUGAGCUUGAAUGUAGUUGAGGUAGGCGGAAUGUGACAAGUAGCGGUGAAAUGCAUAGAUAUGUCACAGAACACCAAUUGCGAAGGCAGCUUACUAAAGUAUGAUUGACGCUGAGGCACGAAAGCGUGGGGAUCAAACAGGAUUAGAUACCCGAGUAGUCCCUGUCUCUUAUAC
RNAcentral lists this ribosomal RNA (301 nucleotides) under uncultured bacterium. RNAcentral's name for it is "partial 16S ribosomal RNA". It matches the Rfam family "Bacterial small subunit ribosomal RNA", at positions 509 to 807 of the family's 1533-position model. The record is from RNAcentral.